Non-coding RNA from Populus trichocarpa (black cottonwood), 156 nucleotides. Lineage: Eukaryota; Viridiplantae; Streptophyta; Magnoliopsida; Malpighiales; Salicaceae. The record is from Rfam.
UCUAGAACUCGAGAUAUGGGCUAAACACUAAACAGUGUCUGGGCUGCAGGACAGAUUCCGACUUCUCUUUUGUUGCUACAAUUUGAACUUGAAAACGGCCGUUUUGAAUCUUGGACUCUUCAUAAAAGUUUUAGACCUGUGUCUUAGCUUUCCAUC